GUGAGGAAUAUUGGUCAAUGGACGAGAGUCUGAACCAGCCAAGUAGCGUGAAGGAUGACUGCCCUAUGGGUUGUAAACUUCUUUUAUAAGGGAAUAAAGUGAGGGACGUGUCCCUUUUUGUAUGUACCUUAUGAAUAAGGAUCGGCUAACUCCGUGCCAGCAGCCGCGGUAAUACGGAGGAUCCAAGCGUUAUCCGGAUUUAUUGGGUUUAAAGGGAGCGUAGGUUGACAUAUAAGUCAGCUGUGAAAGUUUACGGCUCAACCGUGAAAGUGCAGUUGAUACUGUAUGUCUUGAGUGUACAAGAGGUGGGCGGAAUUCGUGGUGUAGCGGUGAAAUGCUUAGAUAUCACGAAGAACUCCAAUUGCGAAGGCAGCUCACUGGGGUACAACUGACACUGAGGCUCGAAAGUGUGGGUAUCAAACAGGAUUAGAUACCCUUGUAGUCC
RNAcentral lists this ribosomal RNA (445 nucleotides) under uncultured bacterium. RNAcentral describes it as "partial 16S ribosomal RNA". It matches the Rfam family "Bacterial small subunit ribosomal RNA", at positions 354 to 796 of the family's 1533-position model. The record is from RNAcentral.